This 494-nucleotide ribosomal RNA is filed under the name uncultured bacterium. Its description in RNAcentral is "partial 16S ribosomal RNA". It matches the Rfam family "Bacterial small subunit ribosomal RNA", at positions 28 to 507 of the family's 1533-position model. The record is from RNAcentral.
GACGAACGCUGGCGGCGUGCUUAACACAUGCAAGUCGAACGGAAAGGCCUGCUUUCCCUUGUGGAUUGCGGGUACUCGAGUGGCGAACGGGUGAGUAACACGUGAGUGAUCUGCCCCCAACUUGGGUAUAAGCCUGGGAAACUGGGUCUAAUUCCCGAUAGGACUGCAGGGUGGUGCCUGUGGUGGAAAACGAUUUUCUAGUGGUUGGGGAUGAGCUCGCGGCCUAUCAGCUUGUUGGUGGGGUAAUGGCCUACCAAGGCGGCGACGGGUAGCCGGCCUGGGAGGGUGGACGGCCACAUUGGGACUGAGAUACGGCCCAGACUCCUACGGGAGGAAGCAGUGGGGAAUAUGGCACAAUGGGCGGAAGCCUGAUGCAGCGACGCCGCGUGGGGGAUGACGGCCUUCGGGUUGUAAACUCCUUUCGACCGCGAGGAAGCCACCUGGUUGGAAGGGUGGUGACGGUAGUGGUAGAAGAAGCACCGGCUAACUACGUG